GUUUGCAUGAAGAGCAGGUGGGGAGGGCGCAGUGAGCCUGGUUACCCCGGGUGCCUUGCUGGAUUUCAGCCACCAGAUGUCAGCAGAUGCCUGCAAAACCUCCAAAAAUCACCAGCUUUCCAGAGGGACUGAAUGAAAUCCCGCAAAAUGCUUUUAAAAUCUCCCGGUAAAUAGGCAGAAGGGAAGGUUUUUACUUGGUACUUCAGCAACAGAGGAUGAGUUUGGCUCUGCUGAGGAGGAGGAAUCCUCAAUUCCCUUGCAGAUUGUUGCAGGCACGGAAGAAGAUGCAGAACACUUACCCUUUCGGAUAGGACUGGAGCAGGGCUGGAGGCGUGCUGGAGAUUGGAUCUCCCGCUCCGUAACUUCACACCGGGCAGAAGCACACCAAUUCCACAGAGAGAGGUGCCGAGGGAGGCUGCUGCCCAGCUUCUCCCAUGCGGCCGUGCCUCAGUUUCCCCACCCGCUGGCUUUUUGGGACAAGAGCAGGCUUUGUGGUUGUGAAGAAGGAAGAAAAGGAAUGGCAAUGUGAAAUAUGUGAAAUAAACGCAAUUCCUGCUGUUGAUCCUGUCAGCUGGGAUGUUUGACAUCUUCUCUGAAGAGAAGUCUUGAAAAGCGUGUAAUACCCAAGUCUUUUUGCUAUCACAAAUGAUUUUAGCCCACUUGCGGGAUCCUUUAGCAUGCAUGGAAGAAGCAACUGUGGUGCUACAAUCCUGGUUCAAUUUCCCAGAAAGUUACUGUUCCUCCUGUAGAAGCCCUUAUCAGCCCUAAGAAAGGAUUGAAGAUGAUGCUAAAACUCUGUCCUGUUGCUGGCUAUCCCUGGCCAGGCUCUCUGUGUCCCCUAGAGGGGCCUCACUUGCUCAGGUGCCUUGCCAAGAGCAUCCCUGCUGCCCUUGCCCACCCCAUGGCUUCUUUGGGAGCAGGGGGAAAUGGCUGGAGGGUGAUCCCUGAUUUCUUUCAGCAUUAAGAACGACUUCCAGCUUCUAAGCCAGCCACCUGUUUAUGAAACAUUUUGGAAAAGUGUAUGUUUGAGACCGCUAAUUGUCCAACUAACUUCAUCGGAACUGGCUGAUAUGUUAAAACCUUGCUUUGACCUGUCAUCCACUUCUGGAGUGCUUAAAAUAAAGUGCACAGAUACAGAGUAAGCUGAAACAGUCAAGAAGCAAUAUAAUACAAAAAUGUUUCGAGUAAAGUGUGUUACUCAGAUCUUUCUAAAGUACAUUUCUCCCUUUAUUCUGAAGGCCACAGCACAGACAACUCUGACUAAUGCAAGUAAUGGAACCAAUCUCUUCCUUUGAUCAUCAAAAAGGUUAUCUUUUUUGUAAACUAGGUCCAACUAGUUUUGCAAUCUGGUUGGAGCAAACAUGAAAGAAAAAGGUUUAAUUAUCUUUCAGUAAAGCCUUAUUUCUUUUCUUUUAGCAAAAUGAUUGGCUAAGGCAGCAUCAGUUUGCGACUGUCGCUGUGCGUGUGACACGUAGUGUGCGAGAUGCAUGUAAUGCAUGGCAUUUGUGUGCAUCUUGUGUCUCAUCAUCAGAUGAUUUAACAAUUUGUGCAUCAAAACCAGGAGGAAAAACUAAGCCAGGACAUUGAGACUUGCCCUAAGUGACGUGUAAAAUCUAGUGUCUAGAAGAGAUUGAUCUUUUAACGGAAGGCUGAAUCAUAUUUGAAAACGCUUAGUGCUGAGUUUGUAAAUAGACCCAGAUUUUCAAUGGAACUAGUCAAAAUAUAAAUACAGAAGAGUGGAGAUGCUUGCUGGAGAUGUAGAGAAGAGAGAAAGCUGCUCAUUCACUCUAUUUAUAUACAAGUAUUUCCUGUGUAUACAUCAAGAUGGAUCAAACAUAGCUUUAAGAGUUAGAAAAUCGGUAUUCUUAUUCCACUGGCUAGCUAGGUCGGGUGUUUUUUAUGGUUUGAUAUGGGAGUUACUGGAUGAAACUCUGGCUUGUGUGAUUCAGGAGGUCAGGCUGGGUGGCCAUAAUAGCUUUCUCUGACCUCAAAGUGCAUCAUUUGUGUGCUUUUUAAGACUUCAGAAUGAGACACUUUAAAGUUGGAAACUAAAGAAUGGAAUUGAAAAAAAAAAAUCAAAGCACCUGCGUCAUUUAGAUUUAUGUGCUCCAUUAAAUUUUAUAGAAGUUAUGCCUGACUUUUGCCAGCCUGAGAUCAGACUUGGGAUUAUAUAUUCAAAGUAUUCCUUUAAGUAGAAAAAGCAUACGAGGUUUUUGUGAGGUAUUUGGAGCUACAGGAAGAGUAUGGCAAAUAAUCGGAGGAAAAACACAAAGAACAGUAGGAAUACAAUGGGAGUUAAAUAAAGGUUGAAUGGAUAAGAAAGGGACAAGGAGGAUUAUCCUGCCCUGAUGGUUAAAAGCAAGGAUGUGCAAGGUGCAUAUGCCACGAGACAAUGGAAACAAGGGAGAUUCUGAAUCGUUAGUGCAAAAAGGUGAAUCAAAACGUUGAGUUGUGCAGAUGAUUGUUACACAGCCUGAAUGAAAGGAAAUAAAUGAGCAUUAAUGUGCCAAAGGCAACAGCAAAGCUGGGGUAACAGCAUCGAGAAUGGAUUUUUUGAGAGCAAAGGAUUAAUGGAGAUCCCAAAGUACAGAUGGUCAUGGAUGAAAUAAUCACCUUCGCCUCAAGGGAGUAAGCAAUGCCCAUGGGUCGGACACACGAUGAGGAAGAAUUGGUAUGUAAACCAAAUGAAGAGAAGAUUAAUUGAAAGCAGGUCCCUGGGAAACUUCCAAAUCUCCCUCCCAAUUUCUGUGUUCUGGAGUAGUACAAAUAUGCUGAUGAAGUUGCAUACAGAUUUCAGAUAAUUAAACAGUUCCAACAGAUUCUAGCUCCUAGUAAGGGUCACUGCUCUGGGGGACCUAACCUGU
This is a long non-coding RNA of Anas platyrhynchos (mallard), 2864 nucleotides long. RefSeq lists it as uncharacterized. The record is from RefSeq and is a predicted model, not a curated record. NCBI's taxonomy places the organism in Eukaryota, Metazoa, Chordata, Aves, Anseriformes, Anatidae.